UUGCAACCGAUCAACCAAUGACGUGCAACCAUAUAUUAUACAAUCCAACAAUAAAAUAAAAACUAAUUACAUUAGAUAACUUUUAUCUCUAAUCUAUUGAGACACGCAAGUCUCCAAAUAAAUUGGCUUGUGCACGCAGGCACAAAAUAUAGCCAUCUCUAAUACGAAGUCCUUAAUUUAAACAAAUUUAAAAUUUACAGAAUUCUGCAAACAUUAUACAUCACAUGUCGAAACAAAAAUAAAUAGGUCGCUAUUCAUGAUCAUCACCGAUAUGUAUCUCAUACAUCACAUAUAUUAUAAUUAAUUUUGGGUAUUUUAACUAACCGUUCAACGAUCAUUCGAAAAUUAGUGACUAAACUAUUAAAAACAAUCAAUCUUAUUGAUCAUUUAUAAUUUUAAUCAACAACUUAAUCUUCAAACAUAACAACUUGAUCUCAUCAAGUUAUUAAUUCGAUGUAAUCAAAU
Molecule: long non-coding RNA, 465 nt
Filed under: Ananas comosus (pineapple)
Lineage: Eukaryota; Viridiplantae; Streptophyta; Magnoliopsida; Poales; Bromeliaceae
Description: long non-coding RNA (ACOM_LNC044636)
Source: RNAcentral